RNAcentral lists this ribosomal RNA (253 nucleotides) under uncultured bacterium. RNAcentral's name for it is "partial 16S ribosomal RNA". It matches the Rfam family "Bacterial small subunit ribosomal RNA", at positions 524 to 776 of the family's 1533-position model. The record is from RNAcentral.
UACGUUGGGGGCAAGCGUUGUCCGGAUUUAUCGGGCGUAAAGAGCGUGUAGGCGGCUUUGCAAGUCCGUUGUGAAAACUCGAGGCUCAACCUCGAGACGCCGGUGGAAACUGCAAAGCUAGAGUCCGGAAGAGGAGAGUGGAAUUCCUGGUGUAGCGGUGAAAUGCGCAGAUAUCAGGAAGAACACCCGUGGCGAAGGCGGCUCUCUGGGACGGUACUGACGCUGAGACGCGAAAGCGUGGGGAGCGAACAGG